Molecule: unclassified non-coding RNA, 296 nt
Filed under: fungal sp.
Lineage: Eukaryota; Fungi
Description: partial contains 5.8S ribosomal RNA, internal transcribed spacer 2, and large subunit ribosomal RNA
Rfam family: 5.8S ribosomal RNA (bases 1-71)
Source: RNAcentral
GUGAGUCAUCGAAUCUUUGAACGCACAUUGCGCCCUUUGGCAUUCCGAAGGGCAUGCCCGUUCGAGCGUCAUUAAAUCCAAUCAAGCCUGGCUUGGUAUUGGGCGUCGGGGUGUCCCCGUGCCUCAAUUUCACCGGCUGGCCGUCGCCCGUCUUAGCGUUGUGACUUAUGUUUCGCUAGCGAUGGGAGGGGGACCACGCCGUUAAACUCCACAGAUUCCUAACGGAAUUUGAUUAAGGUUGACCUCGGAUCGGGUAGGAAUACCCGCUGAACUUAAGCAUAUCAAUAAGCGGAGGA